GACGAACGCUGGCGGCGUGCUUAACACAUGCAAGUCGAACGGAAAGGCCUCUUUCGGGGGGUACUCGAGUGGCGAACGGGUGAGUAACACGUGAGUAGCCUGCCCUUGACUGUGGGAUAACUUCAGGAAACUGGGGCUAAUACCGGAUAGGAGCUCCUGCUGCAUGGUGGGGGUUGGAAAGUUUCGGCGGUUGGGGAUGGACUCGCGGCUUAUCAGCUUGUUGGUGGGGUAGUGGCUUACCAAGGCUUUGACGGGUAGCCGGCCUGAGAGGGUGACCGGCCACAUUGGGACUGAGAUACGGCCCAGACUCCUACGGGAGGCAGCAGUGGGGAAUAUUGCACAAUGGGUGGAAGCCUGAUGCAGCAACGCCGUGUGCGGGAUGACGGACUUCGGGUUGUAAACCGCUUUCGCUCAUGACGAAGCUUUGUGUGACGGUAGUGGGUAAAGAAGCACCGGCUAACUACGUG
Molecule: ribosomal RNA, 467 nt
Filed under: uncultured bacterium
Lineage: Bacteria
Description: partial 16S ribosomal RNA
Rfam family: Bacterial small subunit ribosomal RNA
Source: RNAcentral